UUCAGGUGGACUUCACAAAGAAUCU
RNAcentral lists this non-coding RNA (25 nucleotides) under Rattus norvegicus (Norway rat). Lineage: Eukaryota; Metazoa; Chordata; Mammalia; Rodentia; Muridae. The record is from RNAcentral.